RNAcentral lists this ribosomal RNA (429 nucleotides) under Pseudomonadota bacterium. RNAcentral describes it as "Proteobacteria bacterium partial 16S ribosomal RNA". It matches the Rfam family "Bacterial small subunit ribosomal RNA", at positions 355 to 776 of the family's 1533-position model. The record is from RNAcentral. Lineage: Bacteria; Pseudomonadati; Pseudomonadota.
UGGGGAAUAUUGGACAAUGGGCGAAAGCCUGAUCCAGCCAUGCCGCGUGUGUGAAGAAGGUCUUCGGAUUGUAAAGCACUUUAAGUUGGGAGGAAGGGCAGUAAGCGAAUACCUUGCUGUUUUGACGUUACCGACAGAAUAAGCACCGGCUAACUCUGUGCCAGCAGCCGCGGUAAUACAGAGGGUGCAAGCGUUAAUCGGAAUUACUGGGCGUAAAGCGCGCGUAGGUGGUUCGUUAAGUUGAAUGUGAAAGCCCCGGGCUCAACCUGGGAACUGCAUCCAAAACUGGCGAGCUAGAGUAGGGCAGGGUGUGGUGGAAUUUCCUGUGUCGCGGUGAAAUGCCUAAAAAUAGGAAGGAACACCAGUGGCCGAGGCGACCUCCUGGGCUCAUACUAACACUGAGGUGCGAAAGCGUGGGGAGCAAACAGG